GUCAAGUUGUUACACAGUUCCGGCCUUUCUUCACCUGUUUCCAAACCUGAGCUAUCUAAAUCAACAGACUUAGCAGAAUGGGCUGCUAAGAUUUUGGUAAUUCUUUCCUUGGUCUCAUCAGGAUUAUUACUGAAAUCUCCAGCAUCCAGCCUCAACCAUUCAUCUAGUGAAACAGACAGCUCCACUAAAGCACCCUCGUCAUCAUCACUUUCUUUGCCACACCAAUGCUUUGAUGCGCUAGCUGUAUAAGAACUAAGAACUUCACUAAAUUGAGGCCUAAUGCUUGAAGGUGCUUCAUUAUCUGACAAGUUUGACUGGAUUCUCAACCCCUCUAUUAUAAGAGAUUCUAUUUUACCCAUUGCCAAAGGAGCUAGAUCCUCCAUAAACACAAAACCUAAAUCUACAUUAUCAAUCAUUGAGGUUGAAUUGAGAUGACCAGAACUCUGAUGAAACAGCAGAUCUUCACUGCCCUUCUUCAUACCUAACAACCCAUGCCAAAAAGUGAACCUCUCAUCUUGUUCAAGUCUGGAUCCGGCUUCCCAGGCUAUUUCUUGUAUAUUCCUCCCAGUGAUAUCUUCUAAAGGCAUCAGCUUAUCUGCCUGAGCAGACAUUUUGGAAAUUCCACCAGAUGCCCAGCAGCUGAGUAUUUCCAUAACACUACAAGUACCCAUAGUAGCAGGAAGCACCACUGGACUAGCAAAUUGCAUGAUUAAUCUUGCACCAUUCCUUGCACUCCGAAAAAGUUGAGGACUCAUUGAACAUAAGAAGCCCCCAUUGCGCGUGCACAUUUUAGAACCUAGGCCCUCUCCGAUAGGAGGAAAUUUUAACGGUCUUUCAGGGGAAAGAUAGAUUGGACUUCCAAACCCACCAAAGCUGAUGCGUGGUGAAUUCUGGAAUGCUUUCUCAUUCAAACCCCAAUCUUGCAUUAAAGCCUCAGUUUCCAAGUUCUCUAUCAUUUUUGCAUUCCUUUUACUCCUCAAUGACUGGGUACCUCUCUUAUGCUCCUUCUCAAAAUCCUUAAUAACUGAUGACAGAUCAAAGUCAUCUGAACAUGCAACUUUUCCAUGAACACUUGAAGCAAUGCCACUGAAUUCCACUUGAUUGUCUGUUGUAUCAAAAUCAAAACUUGAGUUUCUAGAAGAAAGGGUCUCCUUCUCAAACUGUCUCAAAAGGCAUUCUCUUGGUGAACCCAGACAGCUAUCCGAACUCAAGUCAACUGAGGUCUGCUCAAUGUUCAACAUUUCCAGAAAAUCAUUUGCCACAGACUCUGUCAAAUCAUCUAGGCUAAGUGAUUUCACCCGCCUACUGGAUUUAUAGCUGGACUUCAGAUUCAUGUAGCUUUCUUGGUCAAUGGACUCAUACAUUUCUACCGGUGAAUCCAACUCUGCAGACUCAGCAGUCAACAGGUCAAGGAAAACCGACUCAAGCUCUUCAAAUAUUUCAUCCUUGCAUACAUCAUUCUCCUCAUAAUUGCUGCUUUUCAUUGUAUGUUCUCCUUCGUAGACAUCAUUGCUUUCACACUUUUGCUUGUAUUCACUUUUCUCAUUACUUCUCUCCUCCAAAAUGUAUGCAACAUCAGCAGUUUCUAUUUGAGUAUCAUCACAAUUUUCAUAAGAACAUACUUCUGGAUUCACCUGCUCUUUCGUAGAAGAUUCUAUGCCCAGUUCACUGACAGAAAACUCAAUAUCUUGAUCAUCUAUGGUAUUUU
Molecule: unclassified non-coding RNA, 1708 nt
Filed under: Hevea brasiliensis (rubber tree)
Lineage: Eukaryota; Viridiplantae; Streptophyta; Magnoliopsida; Malpighiales; Euphorbiaceae
Source: RNAcentral